RNAcentral lists this long non-coding RNA (1689 nucleotides) under Trifolium pratense (red clover). RNAcentral's name for it is "long non-coding RNA (TPRA_LNC008427)". Lineage: Eukaryota; Viridiplantae; Streptophyta; Magnoliopsida; Fabales; Fabaceae. The record is from RNAcentral.
UCUUCUCUACUAAGUUCAGCACCAAUUACCACCAAACCAACUAAUGAUUGGUUACUCAUAUUGAAUUUUGUCCUAAUAGAAUUUGAAUUGUUGAAUUAAGAGUGAAGUGAGUAUAUUAAUUAGGGUUCCUAUUAAUUAAACAAGGAGAGUAGGAUAAAAGUAAUUAAUGACAAGAUCAUUUAUUUUGAGAUGAUAAUAUUUUUUUGCAAAAAUGCCAAUUAUUUUGAGCAGAAGGGAGUACGUGAGAGUAAUCAUACAAGUAACAAGCAUUGCGACGUCCAAAUAAAAUUAUAAUUAUGUUAAUGGUGAUAUGUUUUGAGCCAACAUCUCAUAAAAUUAUUGUAAGUUUAGAAAUAACAUACAAUUAUGUAAAUUAGCUGUUAGAAUACACAUCUACAUAUAUCCUUGAUGCAUAACCCAUAUGAAGGAAAGAAACAAUAACCCAAACAGCCCAUGGAAUCCUUACAAUUUUUAAUAUAUGCUGCAAUUUAAAACAAGAACAAAGAGUGUUAGUCACUGUAAAAAAAAUAAAAAAAUAAAUGGUAGAUAUAUAUUAUAUAUAAGGUAAACAAUAUUUGUACUUUUGGUUCACGGUCACGGUUAUUAUAAAUAAAGGUUAAAUAUAUUUUUGUUUCUCUAAAUAUACCCAAUUUCAUUUUUAAUCUCUUUAAAAAAUUUCUUCGAAUUUAAUCCCUAUAAAUUUUCAGUCCUCUAUAUAAUUUUUCUGCAUGAUCUUAUAAUUUCUGACUUCCUCCUGUGUACUUUUUCACAUGUGACAUGUUAUCCACUAUUUUUUUUGUAUAUUAUCAUUAAGAAAAUUGAAAGGAAACUGCCUCUAGUGAAAAUUUCAUCGAAGAGGAUCCACCCUCCUCUACUUAAAUAGUACGAAUAUCAGACAAAAAAUCUAUUUUUUAGGGUUUGUUUAAUAGGAACCUCCAAAAAUAUUCAAAUGUACACACAUACCAUUUUUUAUUAAUUUUUUUAUAUAAUAUAUAAAAUAGAGUAAGCUGGUACAUGUAAUAUUUUAUUAAAAUAUUUAUUUGUUUUUUACCGUAAAAUAUUUAUUUUUAUAAUAAUAAAAGAGGGAAAGGUAUGUAAUAUUUUAUUAAAAUUUAGUAAACAGUUGUAUAAGGGUCCACUUUUAAAAGAAAUUUAACACCCAUAUUAGAUAUCCCCAUGCAUAAUUUAAUAUAGUAAUAUAGCAUGCAUGCUUGAAUAUCCACAUAAUAAGUGUAUCGAAGAAUUUACCUCAAUGUAAAACAAGAAUGGAUGAAUUUUUUAUUAUAAAUUAAUGAUACUAACUGAUUAUGUAUAAUUAUAAUAAAUAGAUCACGUAAGUGAAAGAAGAUUAUUUGAUAACGAAGAGAAAAUGCCUUACCAGCAUUGGUUGCAAUAAGAAAUAUGAAAAGAAAGAGAAUAAUAGCCUUAAAAAACUUGAUAAUGUGUGUCAUAUGUUCACCACACCUCUUCAUGUAGCAAAUAAAUAAAAUAAAAUAAAAUAAAAUAAUCACUUUAUAGGGUAAAUUCCCUUGUACUCAAUUUACCAGCUCUUUGCACACUUAUGAGUUGCAAAUAAUCAUUUCAAAAUCAUACCAAUGAUUAUUACAUGUGUAGUAUUAUUUGACCUUUAGCGCAAUUGAUCUUUUCACCAGAUUUAAUAAUAAGGAUAAACAAGUGAAGAAUCUUAUU